RNAcentral lists this transfer RNA (72 nucleotides) under Camelus bactrianus (Bactrian camel). It matches the Rfam family "tRNA". Rfam says of the family: Transfer RNA (tRNA) molecules are approximately 80 nucleotides in length. Their secondary structure includes four short double-helical elements and three loops (D, anti-codon, and T loops). Lineage: Eukaryota; Metazoa; Chordata; Mammalia; Artiodactyla; Camelidae. The record is from Rfam by way of RNAcentral. RNAcentral also lists the same sequence under 1 other name.
GAGGGUAUAGCUCAGUGGUAGAGUGCUUGUUUAGCAUGCAGGAGGUCCUGGGUUUAAUUCCCAGUACCUCCA